UGUACCUACGGGGCGCAGCAGUGGGGAAUAUUGCACAAUGGGGGGAACCCUGAUGCAGCGACGCCGCGUGGGUGAAGAAGUCAUUCGUGACGUAAAGCCCUGUCAGCAGGGAAGAAAAUGACGGUACCUGAAGAAGAAGCCCCGGCUAACUACGUGCCAGCAGCCGCGGUAAUACGUAGGGGGCAAGCGUUAUCCGGAUUUACUGGGUGUAAAGGGGGCGCAGACGGCGAUGCAAGCCAGGAGUGAAAGCCCGGGGCCCAACCCCGGGACUGCUCUUGGAACUGCGUGGCUAGAGUGCAGGAGGG
This 305-nucleotide ribosomal RNA is filed under the name uncultured bacterium. RNAcentral describes it as "bacterial SSU rRNA". It matches the Rfam family "Bacterial small subunit ribosomal RNA", at positions 334 to 656 of the family's 1533-position model. The record is from RNAcentral.